UUACGGCCACAUCACGGUGAAACACUAGUUCUCGUCCCGUCAUCGAAAUUAAGCAACGUUGAGCCUGGUCAGUACCUAGAUGGGUGACCGCUUCGGAAUACCAGGUGCUGUAAG
This is a non-coding RNA of Acanthosepion pharaonis, 114 nucleotides long. NCBI's taxonomy places the organism in Eukaryota, Metazoa, Mollusca, Cephalopoda, Sepiida, Sepiidae. The record is from the annotation of a GenBank genome assembly.